AGAGUUUGACCCUCGGCUCAGAUUGAACGCUGGCGGCAUGCUUUACACAUCGCAAGUCGAACGGCAGCAUAGGUGCUUGCACCUCGACGGCGAGUGGCGAACGAGUGAGUAAUAUAUCGGAACGUGUCCGGAAGUGGGAGAUAACGCAGCGAAAGUUGCGCUAAUACCGCAUAUGCCCUGAGGGAGAAGGAGAGAUCGCAAGACCUUUCGCUUUCGGAGUGGCCGAUAUCGGAUUAGCUAGUUGGUGAGGUAAAGGCCUACCAAGGCGACGAUCCGUAGCUGGUCUGAGAGGACGACCAGCCACACUGGGACUGAGACACGGCCCAGACUCCUACGGGAGGCAGCAGUGGGGAAUUUUGGACAAUGGGGCGCAAGCCUGAUCCAGCCAUGCCGCGUGAGUGAAGAAGGCCUUCGGGUUGUAAAGCUCUUUCGGACAGAAAGAAAUCCUAUUCGUUAAUACCGGAUGGGGGAUGACGGUACUGUAAGAAGAAGCACCGGCUAACUACGUGCCAGCAGCCGCGGU
Molecule: ribosomal RNA, 523 nt
Filed under: uncultured bacterium
Lineage: Bacteria
Description: bacterial SSU rRNA
Rfam family: Bacterial small subunit ribosomal RNA
Source: RNAcentral